Molecule: ribosomal RNA, 455 nt
Filed under: uncultured bacterium
Lineage: Bacteria
Description: bacterial SSU rRNA
Rfam family: Bacterial small subunit ribosomal RNA
Source: RNAcentral
GAUGAACGCUGGCGGCGUGCUUAACACAUGCAAGUCGAACGGGAUCCAUCAAGCUUGCUUGGUGGUGAGAGUGGCGAACGGGUGAGUAAUGCGUGACCGACCUGCCCCAUACACCGGAAUAGCUCCUGGAAACGGGUGGUAAUGCCGGAUGCUCCAGUUGAUCGCAUGGUCUUCUGGGAAAGCUUUCGCGGUAUGGGAUGGGGUCGCGUCCUAUCAGCUUGACGGCGGGGUAACGGCCCACCGUGGCUUCGACGGGUAGCCGGCCUGAGAGGGCGACCGGCCACAUUGGGACUGAGAUACGGCCCAGACUCCUACGGGAGGCAGCAGUGGGGAAUAUUGCACAAUGGGCGCAAGCCUGAUGCAGCGACGCCGCGUGAGGGAUGGAGGCCUUCGGGUUGUAAACCUCUUUUAUCGGGGAGCAAGCGAGAGUGAGUUUACCCGUGAAUAAGCACCGG